GCCUUCGUGGUGUAGUGGUCAGCCCUCUGGGCGCGUAUUCCAGAGGUCCGUGGUUCGAGUCCAGGCGAAGGCG
This 73-nucleotide transfer RNA is filed under the name Stegodyphus mimosarum. It matches the Rfam family "tRNA". Rfam says of the family: Transfer RNA (tRNA) molecules are approximately 80 nucleotides in length. Their secondary structure includes four short double-helical elements and three loops (D, anti-codon, and T loops). Further hydrogen bonds mediate the characteristic L-shaped molecular structure. tRNAs have two regions of fundamental functional importance: the anti-codon, which is responsible for specific mRNA codon recognition, and the 3' end, to which the tRNAs corresponding amino acid is attached (by aminoacyl-tRNA synthetases). tRNAs cope with the degeneracy of the genetic code in two manners: having more than one tRNA (with a specific anti-codon) for a particular amino acid; and 'wobble' base-pairing, i.e. permitting non-standard base-pairing at the 3rd anti-codon position. Lineage: Eukaryota; Metazoa; Arthropoda; Arachnida; Araneae; Eresidae. The record is from Rfam by way of RNAcentral.